GUGAACGCUGGCGGUAGGCCUAACACAUGCAAGUCGCACGGCAGCACAGUAAGAGCUUGCUCUUACGGGUGGCGAGUGGCGGACGGGUGAGGAAUACAUCGGAAUCUACUUUUUCGUGGGGGAUAACGUAGGGAAACUUACGCUAAUACCGCAUACGACCUACGGGUGAAAGCAGGGGAUCUUCGGACCUUGCGCGAUUGAAUGAGCCGAUGUCGGAUUAGCUAGUUGGCGGGGUAAAGGCCCACCAAGGCGACGAUCCGUAGCUGGUCUGAGAGGAUGAUCAGCCACACUGGAACUGAGACACGGUCCAGACUCCUACGGGAGGCAGCAGUGGGGAAUAUUGGAUAAUGGGCGCAAGCCUGAUCCAGCCAUACCGCGUGGGUGAAGAAGGCCUUCGGGUUGUAAAGCCCUUUUGUUGGGAAAGAAAAGCAGCAGGUUAAUACCCCGCUGUUCUGACGGUACCCAAAGAAUAAGCACCGGCUAACUUCGU
RNAcentral lists this ribosomal RNA (490 nucleotides) under uncultured bacterium. Its description in RNAcentral is "partial 16S ribosomal RNA". It matches the Rfam family "Bacterial small subunit ribosomal RNA", at positions 29 to 506 of the family's 1533-position model. The record is from RNAcentral.